Strigops habroptila (Kakapo) is the source of this 6393-nucleotide RNA transcript. It is a transcript of the gene named zinc finger protein 423, with no coding region annotated. The record is from RefSeq and is a predicted model, not a curated record. The transcript has 9 exons. Lineage: Eukaryota; Metazoa; Chordata; Aves; Psittaciformes; Psittacidae.
CGCUGUAUUUCCCGGGCCGUCCAUGGCUCGGUGCUGUUGGCUCUCUCUCCGUCUGAUCGGCGCAGGCUGCGCGGGGCUCCCUACGGGAUCAGAGCGCUCCCCCGCCGGGACUCCACUCCUCACAUCCUCCUGCUGGGACUCAGCUACAUUUCCAGCCAAGCCUGGCUUUAUUAUGUGUGUCUGCACUGCAGCCCCAGCAGCAAGAUCAGGAGGAGGAAAAGGAGCCAGGACAAAGAAAAGAGAGGGAGGCUGGCGAGAGCUAAAGAAAAUAAAAACCCAGGGCAGCAGCGGCAGCAGCGGCAGCAAUGAAGGCAGGAGCGGUGCCACCUUCCAGCGAAUAACCCAUGGAGGCAGCUAGCGGCCCCGGCAUCGAUGCAAAGAAGCACUUACCUUGUUCCGCGAAGUGCGUGCGUGCAGGGGAAGGCGGCGGCGAGCGCGGCCGGCCGCGGGGAACCCACCCGCCCGCCAGCCCAGCUCCAGCUCCGCGGCCGCACCGCGCCCGGCCGGCCGCCCCCCGGCCCCCGCGGCCAGCCUAAACAGGGACUCGCCGCCCUCCCCGGGCUGCGGCGGGGCGAGCAAGGGACAGAGGCGGCCGGGGGCGAGCGGGAGGAGAGGGAGGGAGGGAGCGAGGGAGGGAGGGGGGUGCCGAGCGCGGCCGGGGGAGGAUUUAGGAAAAUCGCAGCAACAAGGUCGCACCCCCGGAGCGCCGGGGCCGGGGCUCGUCGCGGGCUGAGACACUGAGUUCUCCCUGCGCGCCCUCCCCCACCCCAGCGGCAGGGACCCGCGCAGGGCUCAGCGGGGCUUUUUUUCCCCUUUUUUUUUUUUUUUAAUAUUAUUAUUCCAAAAGUGCGAGCCGGACUGAGAUCCGCAGGGCGCCUGCAAACUUUAAAGAGAACAAAAAGGCGGGUGGGGGCGCGGGCCAGGCUCGCUUUGCGUCGGUAGAGUUUGCACAUCCGAGGGGGGGAAGGAAGGGAAAACCCCCAAAACAACAAAGGAAAAAAAAAAAAUUGCAACUGUUGCGCCUGUUAUUUUAUAUAUUUUUUUCUUUUCUUUUCUUUUUUUUUUUUUCCCCUUUUUUUUCCCCGGGGGGAAGGUGCCCGAGGGGGUGGAAAGAGGAGUUGAACUUGCCGCAUUGCAACAGGCAAAAGAAGUGAGAAAAAAAAUCAAAUAAUCGAUCCCGCUGCUGCCGCUUCGCCUCGCAAAGUUUGGAGGUGGGGGGGGAAAGAGGGGAAGAGAGAGAGAAAAGGCAGGGAGAGGAAGGGAAGGCAGGGACGGGAGGAAGACGAGGAGGAGGAGGAAGACGAGCCCCGGCGCCCGGACAUGUCCAGGAGGAAGCAAGCCAAGCCCCGCUCGGUGAAAGUUGAAGAGGGUGAAUCUUCAGAUUUUGCAUUGACCUGGGACUCGUCAGUGACUCAGUCAGGUGGCCUGGGAGGAGAGCUGGAGAGCGAAGCGAAGGACAGCCGAGCCCUGGAAGAGAGGAACAGUGUGACGAGCCAGGAAGAGAGAAAUGAGGAAGAUGAAGACAUGGAGGAUGAGUCAAUUUACACCUGCGAUAACUGUCAGCAGGACUUCGAUUCACUGGCAGACCUGACUGAACACAGGGCACACAACUGUCCUGGAGGUUGUCUGUUUCAAACAGCAGCAGAGCUAUAUAUGGAUAUUGCCAGCUUGGAAGCGGCUGAUUUUUCUAAACUACUGUACGAUGGUGAUGACGACCCACAACUCUCCUGGGUGGCUUCAUCUCCCUCCAGCAAAGAUGUUGCAUCACCCACUCAGAUGAUAGGAGAUGGGUGUGAUCUCGGCAUCGGGGAGGAGGAAGGGGGGACUGGCCUGCCGUAUCCCUGUCAGUUUUGUGAUAAGUCCUUCAUUCGCCUGAGCUACCUUAAAAGGCACGAGCAGAUCCACAGUGACAAACUACCUUUCAAAUGCACCUACUGUAGCCGGCUUUUUAAGCACAAGAGAAGUAGGGAUCGCCACAUAAAGCUUCACACAGGGGAUAAAAAGUACCAUUGCCAUGAAUGUGAGGCUGCAUUCUCUCGCAGCGACCACCUCAAAAUUCACCUGAAAACCCACAGCUCCAGCAAACCAUUCAAGUGUACUGUGUGUAAACGUGGGUUUUCAUCUACCAGCUCAUUGCAGAGUCAUAUGCAAGCUCAUAAAAAGAACAAGGAACAUAUGGCAAAGACUGAGAAAGAGGUGAAGAAGGAUGAUUUUAUGUGUGAUUACUGUGAAGAGACAUUCAGUCAGACUGAAGAUUUGGAGAAGCACGUAAUGACACGCCACCCACAGCUUUCCGAGAAGGCAGAUUUGCAGUGUAUUCAUUGCCCUGAAGUAUUUGCAGACGAAAACUCGCUGCUCUCACACAUUCAUCAAGCCCAUGCCAACAAAAAACACAAGUGCCCUAUGUGCCCGGAGCAGUUUUCUUCAGUGGAGGAUGUCUAUUGCCACUUGGACAGCCACAGACAACCUGACUCCAGCAACCACAGCAUCAGCCCUGACCCAGUCUUGGGGAGUGUGGCGUCCAUGAGUAGCGCAACGCCUGACUCUAGCGCAUCAGUGGAAAGAGGUUCCACCCCAGAUUCAACCUUAAAGCCUUUGAGAGGACAAAAGAAAAUGAGGUCUGUGGACAGAGAGGAAGGCCAGAACUGGUCUAAAGUUACCUACAGCUGUCCGUACUGCUCGAAGCGCGACUUCAACAGCCUUGCUGUUCUGGAGAUCCACCUGAAGACAAUUCAUGCAGACAAACCUCAGCAAAGCCACACGUGCCAGAUCUGCCUUGAUUCCAUGCCUACACUGUACAACUUGAAUGAACACGUGAGAAAAGUGCACAAAACCCAUGCCUAUCCCAUGAUGCAGUUUAGCAACAUUUCUGCCUUUCAUUGUAACUACUGCCCAGAGAUGUUUGCAGAUAUCAACAGCUUACAAGAACACAUCCGUAUUACUCACUGUGGACCAAAUGCAACCCCUCAAGAUGGUAACAACGCUUUUUUCUGUAACCAGUGCUCCAUGGGCUUUCUGACCGAGGCAACCUUGACUGAGCAUAUUCAGCAGACUCACUGUAAUGUAGGAAAUUCAAAAUUGGAUUCUCCUGUCAUUCAGCCAACACAGUCUUUUAUGGAAGUUUAUUCAUGCCCUUAUUGCACAAACUCCCCCAUUUUUGGCUCCAUCCUGAAGCUUACAAAGCAUAUUAAAGAAAACCACAAGAACAUUCCUCUGGCACACAAUAAGAAGUCAAAAGCAGAGCAGAGUCCAGUUUCUUCUGAUGUUGAAGUCUCUUCCCCUAAAAGGCAACGGCUUUCUGCUAGCGUAAAUUCAGUGUCUAAUGGUGAAUACCCAUGUAAUCAGUGUGAUCUGAAGUUCUCAAAUUUUGAAAGUUUUCAAACCCAUUUAAAGUUGCAUUUGGAGUUGCUGUUGAGGAAACAGUCUUGCCCUCAGUGCAAAGAAGACUUUGAUUCCCAGGAGUCUCUUCUGCAACAUCUCACUGUGCAUUACAUGACAACUUCAACUCAUUAUGUAUGUGAGAGCUGCGACAAACAGUUUUCUUCGGUGGAUGAUUUGCAGAAACAUUUGUUGGACAUGCAUACUUUUGUGUUGUAUCACUGCACACUUUGCCAAGAAGUUUUUGAUUCCAAGGUAUCUAUCCAAGUGCAUCUGGCAGUCAAGCAUAGCAAUGAAAAGAAGAUGUAUCGUUGCACAGCCUGUAACUGGGAUUUUAGGAAGGAGGUGGAUCUCCAGAUCCAUGUGAAGCAUAGUCACCUGGGGAAUCCGUCAAAGUCUCACAAAUGCAUCUUCUGUGGCGAGACCUUUAGCACAGAGGUAGAGCUGCAGUGUCACAUCACAACCCACAGCAAAAAAUACAACUGCAAAUUUUGUAGCAAAGCUUUUCAUGCCAUCAUCUUGCUUGAAAAGCACUUGCGGGAAAAACAUUGUGUUUUUGAUGCUAGCGCGGAGAAUGGUACAGCUAAUGGCAUGACCCCAACUAAUAAGAAGACAGAAGGGGCAGAUAUCCAAAACAUCUUAAUGAAGAAUCCAGAUACUUCUAACAGUCAUGAAGCCAGUGAAGAUGAUGUAGACGCUUCUGAGCCCAUGUAUGGCUGUGACAUUUGUGGGGCUGCCUACACUAUGGAGGUCCUCUUGCAGAACCAUCGUUUGAGAGACCAUAACAUCAGGCCUGGGGAGGAUGACUGUUCUAGGAAGAAAGCAGAAUUCAUCAAAGGUAGCCACAAGUGUAAUAUCUGCUCAAGGACCUUUUUCUCAGAAAACGGCCUGAGAGAGCACAUGCAGACCCAUCGUGGCCCAGCCAAGCACUACAUGUGCCCCAUCUGUGGGGAACGCUUCCCAUCACUCCUGACCCUGACGGAGCACAAGGUCACUCACAGCAAGAGUUUGGAUACAGGGACGUGUCGGAUCUGCAAAAUGCCGCUGCAGAGCGAGGAGGAAUUUAUCGAGCACUGCCAGAUGCAUCCAGAUCUCAGAAACUCCCUCACUGGGUUUCGCUGUGUUGUCUGCAUGCAGACAGUCACCUCUACCCUUGAGCUGAAAAUUCAUGGGACGUUCCAUAUGCAGAAAUUGGCAGGAAACUCUGCAACCUCGUCUCCCAACGGCCAGGCCUUGCAAAAACUCUACAAGUGUGCGUUGUGCUUGAAGGAGUUCCGGAAUAAGCAGGACUUGGUAAAGUUGGAUGUGAAUGGCCUUCCCUAUGGCCUGUGUGCUGGAUGCAUGACCAGGAGCACCAAUGGACAGUCUUCAGGCUUGACUCCACAGGAGGUGAACGAGAGACCGUGUGGCAGCCUGAGGUGUCCAGAGUGUAGUGUUAAAUUUGAAAGUGCUGAAGACCUAGAGAGCCACAUCCAGGUAGACCACCGAGACCUGACACCUGAGACUAGUGGCCAAAGGAAAGGUACCCAGACGUCCCCUGUUCCAAGAAAAAAGACCUAUCAAUGCAUCAAGUGCCAGAUGACCUUUGAGAAUGAGAGAGAGAUACAAAUCCAUGUCGCUAACCAUAUGAUUGAGGAAGGCAUCAAUCAUGAGUGCAAGCUGUGUAACCAGAUGUUUGACUCUCCGGCAAAGCUCCUGUGUCACCUGAUUGAGCACAGCUUUGAGGGGAUGGGAGGCACAUUCAAAUGCCCUGUUUGCUUCACAGUGAAUGGACAACCCAUUUAAAAGGUCUAAGAACUGUGACAAGCCUGCCCUUUCAGAUUCACAUGCCUGCCAGAAAUGCUGUUCUGGGCCACGUGUCUUCCAGACCCCAGCCAUCAAGGCUUCUCCUGGCCCAGUUGUCCUGCAUUAAAAAUGCAUCCGAUGCACCUGCCGCGGGCCCAGGGCUCCCUGCAGGAGUGGUGACGUCCUCUCUUUGGUCUCAUGACUGAGUUCUUCCAGUUACCCGUGGACAGCGUUAGCUUUAUGUGAAAUAUCAAAAAUCCAUGCAGCAUAUAGAGUCUGUUAGAAGUAAGCUGACUGCCAGUCUGGAGACUCUAAAUUGCCUACUUGUAAGGAAAUUCUGCUGAACAGAGUGUAUCAGCACUUCUCUGGCAGAUAUCCUUGGACUUCUCAGAGUCUUUGCAGUUGUAAAAUUGCAGUUCAAGAUGAGGUGCAUUAUAUGAAGCAGUCUUAACUAAUCGUACUAUGUUGUGUCAGUUUUUGUACAGGCAAACAAACUGCAGCAGCACAUCUUUGCAGUCCACGGGCAGGAAGAUAAAAUUUAUGACUGUUCCCAGUGCCCGCAGAAGUUCUUCUUUCAAACAGAGCUUCAGAACCACACAUUGAGCCAGCACGCACAGUGAGCCACUGGCACUACAGGACACCUCUCUGCAGAAGACUUGACGGUGGCACAGUGGGGAGGACCAUUUGAACAUUACAUCCAAUCAAAGUGUCAUUUGCAACCCAGAUGUAAAACUCUAAUGAUUUGGCCAUGAGGCGCUGCUAUUAUAAGCAGCUGGAAAUGAAUAUUAAUGGAAGAGAUUAAAAGUAUUCCAUGCUCAGUAUUUUUUAUUGUCCUGCUUCAGCUAGUGUACUUUAGAGCUUCUGCUUCUGACUGAAUUUAUAGUGUUAGAUAAAUCUGCUUUGAUGCUGUUGCCCUUUGUUGCUUCUUGUAUUAUAUUGAUAGUUAAAGAUUAGGUGUGAUUUUUUUCUUUUUUGUUAACUGCUUUUUAAUUGCAAUUUUAGGUAACUGUGCAUUGUGAUGUGAUUGCUUGGCUAUUGUCUGAAUAUUUCUUUUUAAUUUUUUAAUUAAAGACUAAUGCUUUGAUUGGAUUUGCCAGUUCACCGGACAGUGAUUAAAACUAUGUAAUGAAUAUAAUCUGUUUCAGUGCAACUGGAUGGUCUGCUUUAUAAAUGUGACUUAAUCUGAUUGCAAUAACUAGUACAGUUCAAUAAAGGGAAUACAUGAGCUUA